RNAcentral lists this ribosomal RNA (324 nucleotides) under uncultured eukaryote. RNAcentral describes it as "partial 18S ribosomal RNA". It matches the Rfam family "Eukaryotic small subunit ribosomal RNA", at positions 1470 to 1796 of the family's 1831-position model. The record is from RNAcentral.
CCCUUAGAUGUCCUGGGCUGCACGCGCGCUACACUGAUGUGUCCAGUAAGCAACUAACCUCUUCCGAAAGGAACGGGUAACCUUUGCAAAGCACAUCGUGAUGGGGAUAGAUUAUUGCAAUUAUUAGUCUUGAACGAGGAAUUCCUAGUAAGCACAAGUCAUCAGCUUGUGUUGAUUACGUCCCUGCCCUUUGUACACACCGCCCGUCGCUCCUACCGAUUGAAUGUUCCGGUGAGCUCUUCGGACUGCGCGGUCUGCAGUUUCUGCGUUCCGUGCGGAAAGUUGCGCAAACCUUAACAUUUAGAGGAAGGAGAAGUCGUAACA